Molecule: ribosomal RNA, 505 nt
Filed under: Capnocytophaga canimorsus
Lineage: Bacteria; Pseudomonadati; Bacteroidota; Flavobacteriia; Flavobacteriales; Flavobacteriaceae
Description: bacterial SSU rRNA
Rfam family: Bacterial small subunit ribosomal RNA
Source: RNAcentral
CGCUAGCGGCAGGCCUAACACAUGCAAGUCGAGGGGUAGAGUGCUUCGGCACUUGAGACCGGCGCACGGGUGCGUAACACGUGUACAAUCUACCUUUUGCUAAGGGAUAGCCCGAAGAAAUUUGGAUUAAUACCUUAUAGUAUUGUUUGGUGGCAUCACUGAAUAAUUAAAGCUCUGGUGGCAAAAGAUGAGUACGCGUCCCAUUAGCUAGUUGGUGUGGUAACGGCAUACCAAGGCUACGAUGGGUAGGGGUCCUGAGAGGGAGGUCCCCCACACUGGUACUGAGACACGGACCAGACUCCUACGGGAGGCAGCAGUGAGGAAUAUUGGACAAUGGUCGGAAGACUGAUCCAGCCAUGCCGCGUGCAGGAUGACGGCCUUAUGGGUUGUAAACUGCUUUUAUACAGGAAGAAUAAGGUCUACGCGUAGAUUGAUGACGGUACUGUAUGAAUAAGCAUCGGCUAACUCCGUGCCAGCAGCCGCGGUAAUACGGAGGAUGCGAGCG